AUUGAACGCUGGCGGCAGGCUUAACACAUGCAAGUCGAGCGGAUGAAGGGAGCUUGCUCCUGGAUUCAGCGGCGGACGGGUGAGUAAUGCCUAGGAAUCUGCCUGGUAGUGGGGGAUAACGUCCGGAAACGGGCGCUAAUACCGCAUACGUCCUGAGGGAGAAAGUGGGGGAUCUUCGGACCUCACGCUAUCAGAUGAGCCUAGGUCGGAUUAGCUAGUUGGUGGGGUAAAGGCCUACCAAGGCGACGAUCCGUAACUGGUCUGAGAGGAUGAUCAGUCACACUGGAACUGCGACACGGUCCAGACUCCUACGGGAGGCAGCAGUGGGGAAUAUUGGACAAUGGGCGAAAGCCUGACCCAGCCAGGCCGCGUGUGUUACGAAGGUCUUCGGAUUGUAAAGCACUUUAAGUUGGGAGGAAGGGCAGUAAGUUAAUACCUUGCUGUUUUGACGUUACCAACAGAAUAAGCACCGGCUAACUUCGUG
Molecule: ribosomal RNA, 484 nt
Filed under: uncultured bacterium
Lineage: Bacteria
Description: partial 16S ribosomal RNA
Rfam family: Bacterial small subunit ribosomal RNA
Source: RNAcentral